UACAGAGGGGGCAAGCGUUGUUCGGAAUUACUGGGCGUAAAGGGCGCGUAGGCGGCCUGUUAAGUCGAACGUGAAAUCCCCGGGCUCAACCCGGGAACUGCGUCCGAUACUGGCAGGCUUGAAUCCGGGAGAGGGAUGUGGAAUUCCAGGUGUAGCGGUGAAAUGCGUAGAUAUCAGGAGGAACACCGGUGGCGAAGGCGGGUCUCUGGGCAGUAACUGACGCUGAGGAGCGAAAGCGUGGGGAGCGAACAGG
This 253-nucleotide ribosomal RNA is filed under the name uncultured bacterium. RNAcentral's name for it is "partial 16S ribosomal RNA". It matches the Rfam family "Bacterial small subunit ribosomal RNA", at positions 524 to 776 of the family's 1533-position model. The record is from RNAcentral.